Molecule: long non-coding RNA, 1512 nt
Filed under: Gallus gallus (chicken)
Lineage: Eukaryota; Metazoa; Chordata; Aves; Galliformes; Phasianidae
Description: lncRNA (ENSGALG00010020210.1)
Source: RNAcentral
AUGUAAACCUCUGGAAGCAGAAGACUUUUUUCCUCUGUGUUGGGGCUGCAAUGUGAGAUUUCUUCAUAUGGGGAAAAUAAAACAACCGGAAGAUCUCAGGCUCCUCCUGGCUGCAAAGACUCCAGUGGAAAUAUUGCUUGGGUUCAUAACCCUCCGAGGGCCCCAAAUCUUGUAGAAACCCAUGCAACUCUGAUGCACCCUUGCAGCAAUGCUAGUCAGGGGGUAAGGGAUGAGUCUGUGCAUAUCUUGGCUUUCUGCAAUGUGAAGGAUCAGGAUCUCCUUUCUCGUCUUCGAAUACUUGCUGGUUUCUAAGCAUGCUACUCCCAACUUACACCAGUUUUGCUGGGAAGAGCACUGGUGUUUCAUUCUGGAAGACAUCUUCAAAGGGGAAUGCACACUUCACAAACUUGAUUUUGAAGUCUUUCAGGAAGGCUUUGCAAACAAAAGCUCACAUUCCAGAGUAAGUAGAAAGUCCUCGGUUCCUGGUGGUGAAAGCUUCCUACCAGAAUUAUUCCCAGAGGCAGUAUAGACUUUGCAUUUUGCCUCAUCUAAAUGCAUUAGGAGGAGUAUUAAAUUUCACAUGUGCUGCAUGUUGAUGUAAUUCUCCUGACACGUCUGUUUGCACCAUUAUGAAAUAAGGGAUUUCCUUUCCCUUUCUUUCCGCAUUUGCCCUGCUCUCCAGAGAUCUCCAGGAUAUGAUCCAUUGGCAUACCAGGAUUACACUUUUUACACAGAGGACUUAAAAAAAGCUUCGUCAUUGGGCUAAGAGAGGUCUCGGGACAGCACCCUGAAUUAGCAGCGCUUGACUGAACUGUCAACCUUCCGUUGGAAGAGAUCCAUUAAUCUUCUGUGUCAUACCCCCACCCCGCUUCAGCUUGGCUCUGUACGCUUACCGGGAUGAGCACUGGGAUGUGGGAGGUUCUUGAGCAUCUUUUCAUGCAAAAACACCAUCCCUGUGCCUAAAGGAACUGGGGAACCUGGCACCUCUGCAGCCUGCCCAGGGUGACUCACCAGGGCUCAGCAUCAGGGCAGAGCUGCAGUACUGGUGACUUCGUUCUGUGUCACAGCUCAGUUCUGUGAUAGGGAUGAUGCAAAUACCUGCUUUGUGCAGAAUCUGGGGCCUUUUUUCCUUCCCAGUGUGAGUAUGUUUUCCUACUAGGCAAAUGUACAUUGCUAAAAGACUGGAAGUGAACUUGCUAGCCUAGGGGGAAAAGGGGAGAGGAAUUUCUUGAUCAGAUAACACUGACCUUCUUGCACAGGCUGAAAGCUAUGCUGCCUUACACCACGCGGGCAUCCACUCAAGGCUUAUCUGGUCAGAUCCCUUCUCCAGGGCUGACUGCUGCGUUCCUCAGCUCAGCAGGUGUGUUGCACACACAUUUGUACACUGCAGAAAUGAAUACAUACAUUGGAAGGUGAGGUAGUGGAGGACAUGCCUUGCUUUUGCCUUCACGUACAGCUGUUGGCAAAGGACCUGUUAUUCCUAAAUGCUGCAAAGAUUAAAAAAAAAAAAAU